UGUCAAAGACAUCAGUCUCCUGUUUUACUCUCUCUUUCUCUCUCUCUCUGUCUUUCCUUCCAGCACUAUCCACAGACGACGGACCCCCCCUCCCAUGUAUGAAACUACGAGUCACUGUGUGUUGUCCACCGACAACAGCUGAAUCAUCAAGACAAGAAGCCACAGAGAGACCGUCACACAGCAGCGCUGUCCAUCCAGUGACAGUCGGACGACUUUCUCUCCUCCUCAUAUUCCUCUUGUUGCCUUAUUUUCUCUAAUAUCUCUUCUUAAAACUUAAAACCUGAAAACAAGUGCUCUGUUGCUGCAGAUAUUCCUCCGUAACCAGUUGCGUUACAGUAAAUGCUUGUUCUACUUCUGUGGAUUACACACACACACACAGACAGACUCUCUCUCUUUCUCGUACUCCUUUGCUCUGUCAUUUUUGUCACGCUAUUAGUCUCCAUCCCUCCAUUUCCUUCCUGGCAGUCUCUCUCUCUCUCUCUCUCUCAGUCCACUCUCAGUGGCGUCUUACUCCUGUCUGCUCUGAUAAAAGUUCACUCUGUAACAGAGCGACACUAAUCUACCUUCAAAGAGCUUAUCUUACUGUUCAUUUUCUUUGAAUUCAUCUGUCCUUAAGAGUCAGACAUUCCUUUACAAGCCCCUGCUCCCCCCUCUGUCCUACUGUACAACAAACUGAGCCAAAGACGAGGAGGAUGAAGCUCCUGCUGUUUGUACUACUGAGUGGAAGAUCAGGGACAGAGUGACCAUUCAUACAUGUGAUCACUAACAUAUCCAAUCAUCAACAAUGGAACUUGGAAAAAAAAUUUAAACUUUUUGUACAAUUUUUUUUUUCUCUUUGAAAAAAGGAAUACAUUGAAACCAAAGCCAGACCGCAGCAUUU
Molecule: long non-coding RNA, 880 nt
Organism: Sinocyclocheilus anshuiensis
Lineage: Eukaryota; Metazoa; Chordata; Actinopteri; Cypriniformes; Cyprinidae
Exons: 3
Source: RefSeq, a predicted model, not a curated record